Molecule: ribosomal RNA, 250 nt
Filed under: uncultured bacterium
Lineage: Bacteria
Description: partial 16S ribosomal RNA
Rfam family: Bacterial small subunit ribosomal RNA
Source: RNAcentral
GACAGAGGGUGCAAACGUUGCUCGGAAUUACUGGGCGUAAAGCGCAUGUAGGUGGGUGGGAAAGUCAGAUGUGAAAUCCCUGAGCUCAACUUAGGAACUGCAUUUGAAACUUCCCGUCUUGAGUAUUGAAGAGGAUUGCGGAAUUCCUGGUGUAGAGGUGAAAUUCGUAGAUAUCAGGAGGAACACCGGUGGCGAAGGCGGCAAUCUGGGCAAUUACUGACACUGAGAUGCGAAAGCGUGGGGAGCAAAC